UCAAGACAUUUUUAUCCCCCUUAAAUAUUAUCAACAACUGUUCUAAACUUAAAGAACAUGGCGGUGUCUUACAAACUCAGGGGAACCUGUCCCUUAAUUUGAUAUUCCACAUAUCCCCACACCCAAUUUUACCAAGCCUGUAUACUGCUGUCGCCAGCAAACCUAAAUAAACGUUUGCACACUAUAAAAUACGUCAAGUCAAAGUGCAGCACAUAAUUGGGGGCGAGAUGGGUUACAACCUAAAUAAAGAUACUGACCUACUAACCAACUUAUCAGGUGGACUUGAUAGUAAUCUAAUCAAAUAUAAACAUUUAUCUAAGACAUGUACACAUCGCCCGUCACUCCCAUAAAAUUG
This 355-nucleotide ribosomal RNA is filed under the name Marionina nothachaeta. RNAcentral describes it as "partial 12S ribosomal RNA". The record is from RNAcentral. Lineage: Eukaryota; Metazoa; Annelida; Clitellata; Enchytraeida; Enchytraeidae.